UACAGAGGGUGCGAGCGUUGUCCGGAAUCACUGGGCGUAAAGCGCACGCAGGUGGCUGAGUCAGUCGAUUGUGAAAGCCCUGGGCUUAACCUAGGAAUUGCAGUCGAUACUACUCAGCUAGAGUAUGGGAGAGGGCAGUGGAAUUCCCGGUGUAGCGGUGAAAUGCGUAGAUAUCGAGAGGAACACCUGCGGCGAAGGCGGGUUGCUGGGCUGACACUGACGCUGAACUGCGAAAGCUAGGGGAGCGAACGGG
This 253-nucleotide ribosomal RNA is filed under the name uncultured bacterium. Its description in RNAcentral is "partial 16S ribosomal RNA". It matches the Rfam family "Bacterial small subunit ribosomal RNA", at positions 524 to 776 of the family's 1533-position model. The record is from RNAcentral.